CUCCGGUGAUCCUGCCGGGACCCGACUGCUAUCGGAUUGAGAUUUAGCCAUGCGAGUCGAACGUCCCCCUGUUGCGGGGGGCGUGGCGUACGGCUCAGUAACACGUAGUCAACCUGCCCUGGAGACAAGGACAACCCCGGGAAACUGGGAUUAAUCCUUGAUAGGUCAUCUCAUCUGGAAGGAGAGAUGGCUUAAAGGGGUACGCGGGCUUCUUCCGCGAAUUCGCUCCAGGAUGGGACUGCGUCCGAUCAGGCUGUUGGCGGGGUAAUGGCCCACCAAACCUGUAACCGGUACGGGCCUUGAGAGAGGUGGCCCGGAGAUGGACACUGAGAGAAGGGUCCAGGUCCUACGGGGCGCAGCAGGCGCGAAACCUUCGCAAUGCGCGAAAGCGUGACGAGGUUAAUCCGAGUGACUCCCGCUGAGGGGGUCUUUUGUCAGCUGUAAAUAGGCAGGCGAAUAAGGGGAGGGCAAGCCUGGUGUCAGCCGCCGCGGUAAUACCAGCUCCUCGAGUGGUCGGGGCGAUUAUUGGGCCUAAAGCAUCCGUAGCCGGUUCCGUAGGUCCUCUGUUAAAUCCAACCGCUUAACGGUUGACCUGCAGAGGAUACCGCGGGACUAGGAGGCGGGAGAGGCGGACGGUAUUCCGCGUGUAGGGGUAAAAUCCUUUGAUCCGCGGAGGACCACCAGUGGCGAAGGCGGUCCGCCAGAACGCGCUCGACGGUGAGGGAUGAAAGCUGGGGGAGCGAACCGGAUUAGAUACCCGGGUAGUCCCAGCCGUAAACGAUGCUAGCUAGAUGAUUCAUUCGCAAGUCGCGAAUGAAGUGUCGCAGGGAAGCCGUUAAGCUAGCCGCCUGGGGAGUACGGUCGCAAGACUGAAACUUAAAGGAAUUGGCGGGGGAGCA
This 899-nucleotide ribosomal RNA is filed under the name uncultured archaeon. RNAcentral describes it as "bacterial SSU rRNA". It matches the Rfam family "Archaeal small subunit ribosomal RNA", at positions 1 to 878 of the family's 1478-position model. The record is from RNAcentral.